UACGUAGGGUGCGAGCGUUAAUCGGAAUUACUGGGCGUAAAGCGUGCGCAGGCGGUUCGCCAAGUCAGGUGUGAAAUCCCCGGGCUUAACCUGGGAAUGGCAUUUUGAACUGGCAAUCUAGAGUGUGUCAGAGGGGGGUAGAAUUCCACGUGUAGGAGUGAAAAGCGUAGAGAUGUGGAAGAAUAACGAUGGCGAAGGCAGCCCCCUGGGAUAACACUGACGCUCAUGUACGAAAGCGUGGGUAGCAAACAGG
Molecule: ribosomal RNA, 253 nt
Filed under: uncultured bacterium
Lineage: Bacteria
Description: partial 16S ribosomal RNA
Rfam family: Bacterial small subunit ribosomal RNA
Source: RNAcentral